GUGUCAGCAGCCGCGGUAAUACGUAGGCAGCGAGCGUUGUUCGGAAUUACUGGGCGUAAAGGGUGGGUAGGCGGUUGGGCUAGUCUGGUGUGAAAUCUCCCGGCUUAACUGGGAGGGUGCGCCGGAAACUGCCUGGCUAGAGUGUGGGAGAGGAAAGCGGAAUUCCUGGUGUAGCGGUGAAAUGCGUAGAUAUCAGGAGGAACACCUGCGGUGUAGACGGCUUUCUGGACCACUACUGACGCUGAACCACGAAAGCGUGGGGAGCAAACAGGAUUAGAAACCCUCGUAGUCC
This 292-nucleotide ribosomal RNA is filed under the name uncultured bacterium. RNAcentral's name for it is "partial 16S ribosomal RNA". It matches the Rfam family "Bacterial small subunit ribosomal RNA", at positions 505 to 796 of the family's 1533-position model. The record is from RNAcentral.